Molecule: ribosomal RNA, 450 nt
Filed under: uncultured bacterium
Lineage: Bacteria
Description: partial 16S ribosomal RNA
Rfam family: Bacterial small subunit ribosomal RNA
Source: RNAcentral
GUGGGGAAUAUUGGACAAUGGGCGAAAGCCUGAUCCAGCCAUGCCGCGUGUGUGAAGAAGGUCUUCGGAUUGUAAAGCACUUUAAGUUGGGAGGAAGGGCAGUAAGUUAAUACCUUGCUGUUUUGACGUUACCGACAGAAUAAGCACCGGCUAACUUCGUGCCAGCAGCCGCGGUAAUACGAAGGGUGCAAGCGUUAAUCGGAAUUACUGGGCGUAAAGCGCGCGUAGGUGGUUUUGUAAGUUGGAGGUGAAAUCCCCGGGCUCAACCUGGGAACUGCCUCCAAAAGUUCAUGACUAGAGUACGGUAGAGGGUAGUGGAAUUUCCUGUGUAGCGAUGAAAUGCGUAGAUAUAGGAAGGAACACCAGUGGCGAAGGCGACUACCUGGACUGAUACUGACACUGAGGUGCGAAAGCGUGGGGAGCAAACAGGAUUAGAUACCCUAGUAGUCC